UGAACAGCUGCGCGCGUUCUCACGUCGGUGCGCCGAGCGUUGCGUAGUAAGUGCCUCCUGACUCACUCAUACGAGGAAACCUCCAAAAGUGAUGCUGAUGUCUUGUUAUGCAAGACAUCAAGCUUUUUGGGACAAGUCUUGCUAAAGUAUGUCCAGCUGAGUAAAGACAUGGCCAUUGCACAGCAGGGGAGAGGAAAACAAAAA
This is a long non-coding RNA of Polypterus senegalus (gray bichir), 204 nucleotides long. RefSeq lists it as uncharacterized. The record is from RefSeq and is a predicted model, not a curated record. The transcript has 3 exons. NCBI's taxonomy places the organism in Eukaryota, Metazoa, Chordata, Cladistia, Polypteriformes, Polypteridae.